This 632-nucleotide unclassified non-coding RNA is filed under the name Hevea brasiliensis (rubber tree). Lineage: Eukaryota; Viridiplantae; Streptophyta; Magnoliopsida; Malpighiales; Euphorbiaceae. The record is from RNAcentral.
GAAACAUACACACUGUCGCAAUUGUCCUUCGGUCAUUCUUUGCAUGAGACUGCCGUAGAAAGAACCUAUGGCAAAAAAUUAUAGCUGUAGCAAUGGUUACCUGGGGAACUUUAAGUCUCAUUCCCAAAUCUUGGAGAAAUGUACAGUAUGAUUUGCGUAAAUAUGUCUCCUUCUUCAAGUCAAUCCCAUCUUGUUUAGAAGGUGAGAAUUCUUCUAAUUCCUUCCUAGAAAAAUACCAUCGAGAGCCAUCCUCCAACCCAUCCUGUGAGUGCUUUGAAUCACUAUUUUCAUACAACGCUUGAUGUGAUGGAUCACUAGAUGAUAAAUUCUCCAUAUGCAUAUCCUUUUAUAAAGCGGCUAAAGAGCAGAGAAAGAAUUGUGGGAAAAUUGCGAAGAGUCGAGCAAUUGCUGGACUGGACGGAGAUAAAUUAAGGGAGGGAAAAUGAGGGCUGAUGAAAAUGCCCAGAAGAAGAAGAAGAAAAAUUUGGCAAUGGAGGGUUAGGGUUUAUGAGGAAGAAAGAAUGAAAAGCAGUGGAGAGUGAGGUAAGCUGAAGAAUUUUGUUGGUGCUUCGAGUUCGAGUUCGAGGCUCGCCAUCUUCACGCUGCUUUUCCUUUCUUUCGUACGAUGGGAC